RNAcentral lists this ribosomal RNA (199 nucleotides) under uncultured bacterium. RNAcentral's name for it is "partial 16S ribosomal RNA". It matches the Rfam family "Bacterial small subunit ribosomal RNA", at positions 328 to 539 of the family's 1533-position model. The record is from RNAcentral.
ACGCUCGACACCUACGGGAGGGCAGCAGUGGGGAAUAUUGCACAAUGGGGGAAACCCUGAUGCAGCGACGCCGCGUGGAGGAAGAAGGUCUUCGGAUUGUAAACUCCUGUUGUUGGGGAAAAAGAGGAUGGUACCCAACAAGGAAGUGACGGCUAACUACGUGGCAGCAGCCGCGGUAAUCUGAGCGGGCUGGCAAGGC